AGAGUUUGAUCAUGGCUCAGAACGAACGCUGGCGGCGUGCUUAACACAUGCAAGUCGAGUGCGCGCCUGUAGCAAUGCAGGUGGCGCACGGCGCACGGGUGCGUAACACGUGGGCAAUCUGCCCUCUGAUGGGGAAUAACCCGCCGAAAGGCGGGCUAAUACCGCAUAAAAUUCCUUGGACUCAUGUUCGAGGACUCAAAGGCGUAAGUCGUCGGAGGAGGAGCCCGCGCACGAUUAGCUAGUUGGUAGGGUAAUGGCCUACCAAGGCUUUGAUCGUUAGCUGGUCUGAGAGGAUGGCCAGCCACACUGGAACUGAGACACGGUCCAGACUCCUACGGGAGGCAGCAGUGGGGAAUCUUGCACAAUGGGCGAAAGCCUGAUGCAGCGACGCCGCGUGGGGGAUGAAGCAUUUCGGUGUGUAAACCCCUUUCGAUCCGGACGAAUGCCUCGCAAGAGGAGUGACGGUACGGAUAUAAGAAGCCCCGGCUAACUACGUGCCAGCAGCCGCGGUAAGACGUAGGGGGCCAGCGUUGUUCGGAAUUACUGGGUGUAAAGGGUUCGUAGGCGGUGUGGCAAGUUGGGUGUGAAAUCUCUGGGCUCAACCCAGAGACUGCUUCCAAAACUGCUGUGCUUGAGUGUGAGAGAGGCUCGUGGAAUUGCAGGUGUAGCGGUGAAAUGCGUAGAUAUCUGCAGGAACACCCGUGGCGAAAGCGGCGAGCUGGAUCACUACUGACGCUGAGGAACGAAAGCUAGGGGAGCAAACAGGAUUAGAUACCCUAGUAGUCC
This 786-nucleotide ribosomal RNA is filed under the name uncultured bacterium. RNAcentral's name for it is "bacterial SSU rRNA". It matches the Rfam family "Bacterial small subunit ribosomal RNA", at positions 8 to 796 of the family's 1533-position model. The record is from RNAcentral.